GCGGGCAUCGUAUAAUGGCUAUUACCUCAGCCUUCCAAGCUGAUGAUGCGGGUUCGAUUCCCGCUGCCCGCUCCA
RNAcentral lists this transfer RNA (75 nucleotides) under Helicobacter pylori. RNAcentral describes it as "tRNA-Gly". It matches the Rfam family "tRNA". From Rfam's summary of the family: Transfer RNA (tRNA) molecules are approximately 80 nucleotides in length. Lineage: Bacteria; Pseudomonadati; Campylobacterota; Epsilonproteobacteria; Campylobacterales; Helicobacteraceae. RNAcentral also lists the same sequence under 13278 other names. The record is from RNAcentral.